Molecule: ribosomal RNA, 1001 nt
Filed under: uncultured organism
Description: bacterial SSU rRNA
Rfam family: Bacterial small subunit ribosomal RNA
Source: RNAcentral
AAACGCUGGCGGCGUGCCUAAUACAUGCAAGUCGAACGAGGAAAGCACCUUCGGGUGCCGGUACUAGUGGCGCACGGGUGAGUAACGCGUGGAUAAUCUGCCCUCUGGCGGGGAAUAACCAGUCGAAAGAUUGGCUAAUACCGCAUAAGACCACAGUUUCUGCGGAAGCAGUGGUUAAUGAUUUAUCACCAGAGGAUGAGUCCGCGUCCGAUUAGCUUGAUGGUGGGGUAAAGGCCUACCAUAGCUACGAUCGGUAGCUGGUCUGAGAGGAUGAUCAGCCACACUGGAACUGAGACACGGUCCAGACUCCUACGGGAGGCAGCAGUAGGGAAUCUUGCGCAAUGGGGGAAACCCUGACGCAGCGACGCCGCGUGAGUGAUGAAGGCCUUCGGGUUGUAAAGCUCUGUUCUAUGGGAACAAAAAAAUGAGUGUACCAUAGAAGAAAGGACCGGCUAACUCCGUGCCAGCAGCCGCGGUAAUACGGGGGGUCCUAGCGUUGUUCGGAAUCAUUGGGCGUAAAGCGGGUGUAGGCGGAUUGGUCAGUCAGAAGUGAAAGCCCCGGGCUCAACCCGGGAAGUGCUUUUGAUACUGCCAAUCUUGAGUGUGGGAGAGGGUAGUAGAAUUCCAGGUGUAGUGGUGAAAUACGUAGAUAUCUGGAGGAACACCGGUGGCGAAGGCGGCUACCUGGCCCAACACUGACGCUCAGACCCGAAAGCGUGGGUAGCAAACAGGAUUAGAUACCCUGGUAGUCCACGCCGUAAACACUGGACACUUGUUGUUGGAGGUAUUGACCCCUUCAAGUGACGGAGUUAACGCGUUAAGUGUCCCGCCUGGGGAGUACGGCCGCGAGGUUAAAACUCAAAGAAAUUGACGGGGGCCCGCACAAGCGGUGGAGCAUGUGGUUUAAUUCGAAUGCACGCGCAGAACCUUACCUGGCCUUGACAUCUAGUGGAAGUAUCUCAGAGAUGAGUACGCCUUCGGGCCGCUAGACAGGUGCUGCA